CGGUGAUUAAGAUGGGGGAGCACAUCGAGAAUCCCCCUGUGCCCACUCGGGCACAGACACUGGAGCUGAACUUGGGUCUCACACAAGUGGUAGAUGCUCUGCAAUAGCGAUUAGCAAUUCUGUUUGAUUUAGGAAGUGCUAAUCAAUAACAAACUCAACUUGGGGACCUGCACUGGCUUCCUCAUUCUGCAUCUGGCACCCAGGACUGACACACCCCAGCUGGCAGGAAGAUCUGGACAACAAAAGCAAUAAAAUAAAACAUGAAAUGGACAACAUUGAAGAUCAUUAUCAAAAAGUAAAGGAAAAACUAUAUAGAAUAGAAGAAAAUAUUUGGAAGUUAUAUAUCCAAUAAUAAUUUAAUAUUCUAAAAUUUGUAAGGAACCCUCCACAAUUCAACAACAAAGAGGUAACCCAAUUUUUAAAAGGGAAAGAAACUAAAACACUUCUCCAAAGAAGAUAUACGAG
Molecule: long non-coding RNA, 465 nt
Filed under: Cavia porcellus (domestic guinea pig)
Lineage: Eukaryota; Metazoa; Chordata; Mammalia; Rodentia; Caviidae
Description: lncRNA (ENSCPOG00000038527.1)
Source: RNAcentral